ACUCCGGCUGCGCGUUAAACCACGUGGGCGCUUUUACGACACAACCUCGCCCUGACUGCAGUUCAGAACGGGUGAAUCAGAAUCUCUGCAGGCACGGUCCAAGCGCUGGAACUUUAAAAAGCUCCCCGGGUGACUCUAGUGUGUAGCCUGGAUUGAGAACCACUGAACUAAAUUGUUUACGUGAUAAGGCAGGAUGGAAGUGUGCAUGCUUGAGUAGAAAGCAAGUGGCACCAAGAGGAGCUAAACAUGCCGGAGAGGAAGAGCAUAGGUGUGAGCCCACAGACUGAGAAAAAUGAACAUCUUUUAGCUGAAAAAAGAUACCUCAGAAAGAUACGUAGAUCUGACUGGAAAUAGUGUAUCUGCCUUGUGAUGCUCAUUUUUCAUUCCUACCCGUCAAUUAUGCAAGGGCUGAUAUUGAAAUUCAGUUGGUCUGGGGAGACUCUGCUUCUGGCUGUGGGUGACGGACGUGCCUUGCCUCUGGGCUGUUCCAUGCAUCUCAUUCCAGGCUGACAGGCAGCAGCAACUCAGGGCAUAUUCUUCUCCUGGCUACAGCAAGUGAGCAGGGAAUGGCUCAUUUUAAACCUCUGCUCAUGCAACAGGCUCUGACAUCCCAUUGGCCAAAAUGAGUCAUACGCUAAGUCCAAAGUCAAGGGUGGAAAGAACACGCUGCCCACCAUGAGUCCAUGUCAAGGGUAUUGAAGUGUAAUUUUCUAGCAGGAGAAUGAAGAAUUGAGGCCAAUGAUUCAGUUCACCACAGGUUUCCAAGAUUUUUGUAGUCACUUUUCAUCUCACUAAAACCUAUCAUACAAACCCCACCACAGGCAGUGGUAUCUUUGUCAUCUUUCCCCAGAAUAUGUUUUGUUUACUCCCAUCAGAGCUCCCGCUUCAUCAGGAGUUACACUAACACAGCUUUUAACUCAAACAUCCUUUUUUUUUUUUCUUUUUUUAAGUGGAAAUCAUUCCUUAUUGAAUUCACUAUUGAAUUCUUCUCCUGGAUGCCUUUCCUUAGAGAUUCUCACGCACACACAAAAGUAGUCCUCCUCUGUUCUUUAGGGAAACAGAACCCAGAAAACUCUGUCAAGUGAAGCAUGCUGGCCACGUAUGUGUUUUCCUCCGACAGAAUAGCACACUUCCCAAACCACUUCACUUGUACUAAUACAAAUUUACUUAAUUUUGCAGCAGUUUUAUUUUUGUUUAUUUAUUUAUUUAUUUAUUAAAGAUUAGC
RNAcentral lists this long non-coding RNA (1225 nucleotides) under Equus caballus (horse). RNAcentral describes it as "lncRNA (ENSECAG00000042870.2)". Lineage: Eukaryota; Metazoa; Chordata; Mammalia; Perissodactyla; Equidae. The record is from RNAcentral.